RNAcentral lists this non-coding RNA (105 nucleotides) under Clostridium novyi. Its description in RNAcentral is "SAM-I sequence". It matches the Rfam family "SAM riboswitch aptamer (S box leader)". From Rfam's summary of the family: The SAM riboswitch is found upstream of a number of genes which code for proteins involved in methionine or cysteine biosynthesis in Gram-positive bacteria. The SAM riboswitch acts at the level of transcription termination control. The record is from RNAcentral. RNAcentral also lists the same sequence under 1 other name. Lineage: Bacteria; Bacillati; Bacillota; Clostridia; Eubacteriales; Clostridiaceae.
AUCUUAUCAAGAGAGGUGGAGGGAAUGGCCCUAUGAAGCCCGGCAACCAGUAUAUAAAUAAAUACUAAGGUGCUAAUUCCUGCAGUAUAAUCUGCAAGAUAAGAA